GUGGGUAUAGCUCAGUGGUAGAGUACCUGCUUGCCAUGUACGAGGUCUGGGGUUCAAUCCCCAGUCCCUCCA
Molecule: transfer RNA, 72 nt
Filed under: Camelus bactrianus (Bactrian camel)
Lineage: Eukaryota; Metazoa; Chordata; Mammalia; Artiodactyla; Camelidae
Also listed under: 2 other names
Rfam family: tRNA
About the family: Transfer RNA (tRNA) molecules are approximately 80 nucleotides in length. Their secondary structure includes four short double-helical elements and three loops (D, anti-codon, and T loops). Further hydrogen bonds mediate the characteristic L-shaped molecular structure. tRNAs have two regions of fundamental functional importance: the anti-codon, which is responsible for specific mRNA codon recognition, and the 3' end, to which the tRNAs corresponding amino acid is attached (by aminoacyl-tRNA synthetases). tRNAs cope with the degeneracy of the genetic code in two manners: having more than one tRNA (with a specific anti-codon) for a particular amino acid; and 'wobble' base-pairing, i.e. permitting non-standard base-pairing at the 3rd anti-codon position.
Source: Rfam by way of RNAcentral